CCAGUAGUCAUAUGCUUGUCUCAAAGAUUAAGCCAUGCAUGUCUCAGUACAAGCCAAAUUAAGGUGAAACCGCGAAAGGCUCAUUAAAUCAGUUAUGGUUCCUUAGAUCGUACCCACAUUUACUUGGAUAACUGUGGUAAUUCUAGAGCUAAUACAUGCAAACAGAGCUCCGACCGGAGACGGAAGGAGCGCUUUUAUUAGAUCAAAACCAAUCGGUGGCGGGUCUCCCGUCACCGUACACCUUGGUGACUCUGAAUAACUUAUUGCUGAUCGCACGGUCUCGCACCGGCGACGCAUCUUUCAAAUGUCUGCCUUAUCAACUGUCGAUGGUAGGUUCUGCGCCUACCAUGGUUGUAACGGGUAACGGGGAAUCAGGGUUCGAUUCCGGAGAGGGAGCCUGAGAAACGGCUACCACAUCCAAGGAAGGCAGCAGGCGCGCAAAUUACCCACUCCCGGCACGGGGAGGUAGUGACGAAAAAUAACGAUACGGGACUCAUCCGAGGCCCCGUAAUCGGAAUGAGUACACUCUAAACCCUUUAACGAGGAUCAAUUGGAGGGCAAGUCUGGUGCCAGCAGCCGCGGUAAUUCCAGCUCCAAUAGCGUAUAUUAAAGUUGUUGCGGUUAAAAAGCUCGUAGUCGAAUUUGUGUCCCGCGCCGCCGGUUCAUCGCUCGCGGUGUCAACUGGCGUGUCCGCGGGACGUCCUGCCGGUGGGCUUAGCCCCCCGUGGGCGGCCCAAUCUCAAUCCCACCGCGGUGCUCUUCACUGAGUGUCGAGGUGGGCCGGCACGUUUACUUUGAACAAAUUAGAGUGCUUAAAGCAGGCUAAAACAUCGCCUGAAUACUGUGUGCAUGGAAUAAUGGAAUAGGACCUCGGUUCUAUUUUGUUGGUUUUCGGAAACCCGAGGUAAUGAUUAAUAGGAACGGAUGGGGGCAUUCGUAUUGCGACGUUAGAG
RNAcentral lists this ribosomal RNA (953 nucleotides) under Lepanus furcifer. RNAcentral's name for it is "SSU rRNA". It matches the Rfam family "Eukaryotic small subunit ribosomal RNA", at positions 17 to 910 of the family's 1831-position model. The record is from RNAcentral. Lineage: Eukaryota; Metazoa; Arthropoda; Insecta; Coleoptera; Scarabaeidae.